This 412-nucleotide ribosomal RNA is filed under the name uncultured bacterium. RNAcentral describes it as "bacterial SSU rRNA". It matches the Rfam family "Bacterial small subunit ribosomal RNA", at positions 29 to 486 of the family's 1533-position model. The record is from RNAcentral.
AACGAACGCUGGCGGCAUGCCUAACACAUGCAAGUCGAACGCCCUCUUCGGAGGGAGUGGCGCACGGGUGCGUAACGCGUGGGAACCUGCCCUUAGGUUCGGAAUAACUCAGAGAAAUUUGAGCUAAUACCGGAUAAUGUCUUCGGACCAAAGAUUUAUCGCCUUUGGAUGGGCCCGCGUUGGAUUAGCUAGUUGGUGGGGUAAAGGCCUACCAAGGCGACGAUCCAUAGCUGGUCUGAGAGGAUGAUCAGCCACACUGGGACUGAGACACGGCCCAGACUCCUACGGGAGGCAGCAGUGGGGAAUAUUGGACAAUGGGCGAAAGCCUGAUCCAGCAAUGCCGCGUGAGUGAUGAAGGCCUUAGGGUUGUAAAGCUCUUUACUUGGGGAUGAUAAUGACAGUACCUGGAGAA